Molecule: ribosomal RNA, 305 nt
Filed under: uncultured bacterium
Lineage: Bacteria
Description: bacterial SSU rRNA
Rfam family: Bacterial small subunit ribosomal RNA
Source: RNAcentral
UCCUACGGGAGGCAGCAGUGGGGAAUAUUGCACAAUGGGGGAAACCCUGAUGCAGCGACGCCGCGUGAAGGAAGAAGUAUUUCGGUAUGUAAACUUCUAUCAGCAGGGAAGAAAAUGACGGUACCUGACUAAGAAGCCCCGGCUAACUACGUGCCAGCAGCCGCGGUAAUACGUAGGGGGCAAGCGUUAUCCGGAUUUACUGGGUGUAAAGGGAGCGCAGGCGGCCUUGCAAGUCUGAUGUGAAAGGCCGGGGCCCAACCCCGGGACUGCAUUGGAAACUGCGAGGCUGGAGUGUCGGAGAGGCG